CAGCACUACCACCCCUUAAGCUCAGGGUUUUGCUGUUUAACCCCAUGGGGGUUGUGGUGUUCCUAUUUUUACCCAGAGAGAAAACAAGAGCAAGAAAAGUUAAGGAACAACUUAGUAUUUCUCUCUUAGGUAAGACAAAGAAAUCUGCUGUCUCAUCUCCAAAAAUCCCAGUGAAUAUUAUUUUGCCAAGAAACGGAGGGAGACCUGCUUGCAUGAGCACAUGUGAACACACGAUGACGAUAAGUCCUGCUUUAAAACAUCUGAAGAAACUGCAGAGCAAUGGCCUCAUUCUGCUAUGGCCAAGGCCGCCUUCAAGACCACCUGUAAGAGCACCCUAUUUAAGCCAAAUGUGUUGAUUAUUUUUAGCAUAACUUAAGCCCCAGGAGACUAAUGAGGUGUUAACAGUGUGUGUUAA
This 415-nucleotide long non-coding RNA is filed under the name Cervus hanglu yarkandensis (Yarkand deer). RNAcentral's name for it is "lncRNA (ENSCHYG00000021873.1)". The record is from RNAcentral. Lineage: Eukaryota; Metazoa; Chordata; Mammalia; Artiodactyla; Cervidae.